Molecule: long non-coding RNA, 315 nt
Filed under: Gossypium barbadense (sea-island cotton)
Lineage: Eukaryota; Viridiplantae; Streptophyta; Magnoliopsida; Malvales; Malvaceae
Description: long non-coding RNA (GBAR_LNC004620)
Source: RNAcentral
UAUACUUACCGCCAACGAAUAGUAAUCACCCAAUACUCAAAUCGCUAGAAAAGCACUAAUCACUUCCUAACUUUUCCCUAAACAAGAAUUAAACAAAAAACCAUCAAUGAUUUUCCAUUAAAAACAUAGCUAGCACCCCUAAACAUACACCCAAUAACUUACAUGUUCAGAAUGGAUCGAAGAACCCGAAUGCACAACACUCAUGACCACAACAUGAUGGACAAGAACCAAAUAAGAAAACCCAAAAAAAGGAUGAAAUCAAAAGGAGAAAAACAUCAGAAACAGAAUUGUAAGGAGAAGGAAAAGGGACGUAAA